CAGCCGCCACGGUAAUACGAAGGGUGCAAGCGUUACUCGGAAUUACUGGGCGUAAAGCGUGUGUAGGUGGUUGUUUAAGUCUGUCGUGAAAGCCCUGGGCUCAACCUGGGAAUUGCAAUGGAUACUGGCAAGCUAGAGUGUGUCAGAGGAUGGUGGAAUUCCCGGUGUAGCGGUGAAAUGCGUAGAGAUCGGGAGGAACAUCAGUGGCGAAGGCGGCCAUCUGGGACAACACUGACGCUGAGGCACGAAAGCGUGGGGAGCAAACAGGAUUAGAGACCCCCGUAGUCCCUGUCUCUUAUAC
Molecule: ribosomal RNA, 301 nt
Filed under: uncultured bacterium
Lineage: Bacteria
Description: partial 16S ribosomal RNA
Rfam family: Bacterial small subunit ribosomal RNA
Source: RNAcentral